This 406-nucleotide ribosomal RNA is filed under the name uncultured bacterium. RNAcentral's name for it is "bacterial SSU rRNA". It matches the Rfam family "Bacterial small subunit ribosomal RNA", at positions 355 to 775 of the family's 1533-position model. The record is from RNAcentral.
CAAGGAAUUUUCCACAAUGGGCGCAAGCCUGAUGGAGCAACGCCGCGUGCGGGAGGACGCCCUUCGGGGUGUAAACCGCUUUUCGGGGGGACGAAGCCAAUGACGGUACCCCCGGAAGAAGGACCGGCUAACUACGUGCCAGCAGCCGCGGUAACACGUAGGGUCCGAGCGUUGUCCGGAAUUACUGGGCGUAAAGCGCGCGCAGGCGGUCCGACGCAUCGGCGGUGAAAGCCCCCCGCUUAACGGGGGAGGGUCCGUCGAGAUGGUCGGGCUGGAGGCAGGGAGAGGGCGGUGGAAUUCCGGGUGUAGUGGUGAAAUGCGUAGAGAUCCGGAGGAACACCAGUGGCGAAGGCGGCCGCCUGGACCUGACCUGACGCUGAGGCGCGAAGGCGCGGGGAGCGAACGG